This is a long non-coding RNA of Cydia amplana, 298 nucleotides long. RefSeq lists it as uncharacterized. The record is from RefSeq and is a predicted model, not a curated record. The transcript is spliced from 3 exons. Lineage: Eukaryota; Metazoa; Arthropoda; Insecta; Lepidoptera; Tortricidae.
CCCUCAGAAGGGAUUUCCAUUUUUCGCGGUCCAGUGCGGCCUCCUCCAGCUCCGCCCAGCCGAGGCCAACUGGUGCAGCCUCCUUUUCCACUGUGCGCCUCCAGGUGGCCUUACACUUAUUCCGGGAAUUUUCCAAGUCAGCCCUUGCUUGGAUAUGUGGUUGUUUGGCCUUCGUAAAACAUGACCUAUCCAGCGCCAUUUUCGCAGAAGUACCUUCUUAGCUAAAGGGUUUUUGGCCAGUAGACUCCUAAGAUUCGCCGCAGACACUUGUUUACAAACACCUGGAGUCUACUGGUUA